CCCAUCCAGUCAUCUAUCCAUCCAUCCAUCCAUCCAUCCCUUCUAUAUGAAGAGCAAUUAUCUAUCUUUUGCCAGGGAUUCAUAUUUUAGUCCAGGGGUCAGCAAACUUUUCUGUUAGUAAAUAUUUUAAGCUUUGCAGGCUGUACAGUCCCUGUUGCAACUAGUCAGCUCUACCAUUAUAUUGUGAAAGCAGUUACAGACAAUAUAUAAACAAAUGGGGGUGAUUGUGUGCCAAUAGAACUUGAUUGACAAAAACAAGAGGCAGCCCGAUUGGGUCAUAGGCUGUAGUUUUUGGACCCAUCAUUUAGUCCCUGUACAUCAUGUGUGGAAGUUUAUAAGCUCCAUUCUACAGGUAGGGAGAUUUACCCUUGGAUGUGUUCAUAAACUUGUCCAGCUUCGGUGACAGGUAGGACUUAGGCAGGAACCAAGCUCUGUCACAUUCCAGCUCUCUUGCGUUUACCAACAAACAGGAAUUCUGUGCCAUGGAAUCUCUACAUGAACCAUGUUCAGAUAGCUUGUCGCAGGUGAGCCGUGGGAGCUAGAUGCCCCAAGAAACAUCCUCCCUGUUUCUGGAGACCUGGAGAGCCAAAGAAGUCAUGUAUCUCAUCACACAUGCCCAGGGCCCCACAGUCAGGAGGGCCCCAUGCUUAAUUCAUGUGCUGUGGGCGCCAUCUUGAAUUUCGUAUUUUCAUUUUGCACUUGGUCCACAAAUUGGGUAGCUUGCCCUGCUCACAUGCCCACCCUCCUAAAGGAAGGGGAGCAGGUCUUCCAAGGAUGAUGUCCCCACUCUCCUGAGCACCUCUUGACAAACCAUCAGCUUGUCAGGUCUGUCAUUGGCUAUAAAGAUUCCCUUGGAGUUUCAGCAAGGCUGGUGGUUCUUGGCUGUUCACUGGGGACCCUUCUGAGAAUGAGUGAUGCCCAGUUACCCCUCUCCCAGACUUCCCACGUUGAUUCCUUGUGUUUCAGCAUUUAUUUAAAAUGCCUCACACCAUCCAUUUGUUCAACCAAGGUUGAGAUUCAGCAAACAGCGAUUACAGCUUCCAGCUCUGCACCCCAGGGCUUCUGGCAGCUCCAUCCAGAAUCAUUUCAACCACCAGGAACUGCUCAGACCCAGAGUUUUAACACGUGUAGAUCUGUGCAACCGCCGCCACUGUCUUAGCUUGCCAGGGCUGCUGGAACAGAUUCCACAGACCAGUUGGCGUAAACAACAGGAAAUUGUGGUCUCAGAGUUUCGGGGGCUGGAAGUCCAAGACCAUGGCUCCUCUGAGGUCUGUAGCUUUGUGGCAGUGGCUUGCUGGCGGCCAUACCUUCAUCUCUGCCUCCGUCAUGUGGCUGUUGGUCUCCUCACUCCUACUCCACGUCCACAUUUCCUCUGCUUCUGAGGACCCCCAGCAUGUGGGAGCAAAUCCCACCCUGAUUCAGUUUGGCCUCCCCUUAGCUAAUAACAUCUGCAAGGGACCCAUUUACAAAUGGGUUCCCACCCAAAGGUUGGGGAUCAGGAUUGGAACAUGUCUUUGAGGAGGAUCUGAGUCAAUAACCACUAACAGGACUCAGCCUGGAACUGGAGUCUUGACUCUAACCUGGAGACCAGGAGCAGGAUUAGGACUCAGGCUCUGUCAACAACAGGUGCCUGCCUGGAAGGGGAACUUGGCUUCUACCUGGGAUCAGAGGCAGGGCUGGGACUCAGGCUCUGUCAACAAUAGGUGCCUGCCUGGAAGGGGGACUUGACUCCUACCUGGGAUCAGGGGUCGGCCUGGGACUCAGGCUCUGUCAACAAGAGGUACCUAUUCCUAGAAUGGGGGACUUGACUCCUACCUGGGACCAGAGGCAGGGCUGGGACUCAGGCUCUGUCAACAAGAGGUGCCUGCCUGGAAGGGGGACUUGACUCCUACCUGGGACCAGAGGCAGAGCUGGGACUCAGGCUCUGUCAACAAGAGGUACCUAUUCCUAGAAUGGGGGACUUGAUGCCUCCCUGGGACCAGAGGCAGGGCUGGGACUCAGGCUCUGUCAACAAUAGGUGCCUGCCUGGAAGGGGAACUUGACUCCUAACUAGGACCAGGGGCGGGCCUAGGACUCAGGCUCUUGUCAACAAGAGGUACCUAUUCCUAGAAUGGGGGACUUGACUCCUACCUGGGGACCUGGGUCUGGACUGGGACUCAGGCUCUGUCAAGAGGUGCCUGCCUGGAAGGGGGGUUUGACAUUAACCUGGGGACCAAGAGCAGGACUAGGACUCAGGCUCUGUCAACAAGAAGUUCCUGCCUGGAAGGGAGACUUGAGUCUAACCUAGGGAUCAAGGGUGGAAUUGGACUCAGGCUCUGUCAACAAGAGGUUCCUGCCAGGAAAGAGGACCUUGACUCUAACCUGGGGAUCAGGGGCAGGGUUGGGGAUCAGGCUUUGUCAACAACCUGUGCCUGCCCAGAAGGGGGACUUGACUCCUACCCAGAACCAGGGGCAGGACUGGGACUCAGUCUCUGUCAACAAGAGGUGCCUUCCUAGAAGGGUGGACUUGACUCUAACCUGGGGACCUGGGGUGGGACUGGAACUCAGGCUGUGUCAACAAGAGGUGUCUUCCUAGAACAGGGUCCUGAAUCUAACCUGGGGACAAGGGGCAGGACUGGGACUCAGGCUCUGUCAACAAGAGGUGCCUGCCUGGAAAGAGGACUUAACUCUAGCUUGGGGACCGGGAGCAGGGCUGGGACUCAGGCUCAGUCAACAACAGGUGCCUGCUUAGAAAGGCAGACUUGACGUCACAGCUCCCAUCCUGUGCCUUGACUUUGCCUUGGUCCUUGCUCUUUGUUCCAGGUUUGGACUUCCAGCUUCCUGGACCUUCUCUGAGCAUCUGGUGUUCUUAUCAUGAAUUCCCCGUCUGCUUAGAUCGGUGAGUUGGAUCCUGGUUGGAACUGAGAGUCCUGACAGAUUCUGUGAGCUGACUUUGCCAUCCCAGGGACAAAGUUCAGGACUCGGAGCCUCCAUUGAACGUCCCGCAGGCCGGGACAAACUGGCGCCCAACGUGGGACCCUGAAUUCUGUGAGAGACGGAACGCCGCACUCAGGGAGAGAGGUACCUCACACUCACCGCACCCGGGAUCACUGCGAGGAAGCACACUCAUGAGACAGAUCUGUUCAGCAGUCCAUCAGUGCCAGCGAAAGGAAGAAACGGGAAGAAGAAAAGAAAGCAACAAAAGCACGUCGCCAACCUUGCUGUAGCCUGCCCAGAACACGCCCAACCUACGUGCAGCCGGCAACCAAAAAAGGCCCAACUUACAGGUGUUGCUGGCCUAAGCACCGGAGCCGCCUCUAUUAUCCUCCACAACCAAGGCUUCUCCAGCCUGAGAGCUGCUAUAGAUGAAGAUUUAGCCCGCAUUGAAACCUCCAUCACCCAUCUUGAAAAAUCCCUUACAUCUCUAUCAGCAGUUGUUCUCCAAAACAGGAGAGGCUUAGAUCUACUUUUCCUUAAGCA
Choloepus didactylus (southern two-toed sloth) is the source of this 3459-nucleotide long non-coding RNA. RefSeq lists it as uncharacterized. The record is from RefSeq and is a predicted model, not a curated record. NCBI's taxonomy places the organism in Eukaryota, Metazoa, Chordata, Mammalia, Pilosa, Megalonychidae. The transcript is spliced from 4 exons.